Molecule: ribosomal RNA, 778 nt
Filed under: Pseudister sp. 4 MSC-2013
Lineage: Eukaryota; Metazoa; Arthropoda; Insecta; Coleoptera; Histeridae
Description: SSU rRNA
Rfam family: Eukaryotic small subunit ribosomal RNA
Source: RNAcentral
CAAGGAAGGCAGCAGGCGCGCAAAUUACCCACUCCCGGCACGGGGAGGUAGUGACGAAAAAUAACGAUACGGGACUCAUCCGAGGCCCCGUAAUCGGAAUGAGUACACUUUAAAUCCUUUAACGAGGAUCAAUUGGAGGGCAAGUCUGGUGCCAGCAGCCGCGGUAAUUCCAGCUCCAAUAGCGUAUAUUAAAGUUGUUGCGGUUAAAAAGCUCGUAGUCGAAUCUGUGUCCUGCGCCGCCGGUUCAUCGCUCGCGGUGUCAACUGGCGUGUCGCAGGACGUCCUGCCGGGUGGACUUAGCCUCGCGCUCGACCGUGCGUCUCUAGGGGCGCGCUGUUGUCGCCGGGGCGGUCCAACUUUAACAAUCCCACCGCGGUGCUCUUCGCUGAGUGUCGAGGUGGGCCGGCACGUUUACUUUGAACAAAUUUGAGUGCUUAAGGCAGGCUAAAAUUUUGCCAGAAAAUUGUAUGCAUGGAAUAAUGGAAUAGGACCUCGUUUCUAUUUUGUUAGUUUUCGGAACUCCGAGGUAAUGAUUAAUAGGAACGGAUGGGGGCAUUCGUAUUGCGACGUUAGAGGUGAAAUUCUUGGAUCGUCGCAAGACGGACUUAAGCGAAAGCAUUUGCCAAAAACGCUUUCAUUGAUCAAGAACGAAAGUUAGAGGUUCGAAGGCGAUCAGAUACCGCCCUAGUUCUAACCAUAAACGAUGCCAGCUAGCGAUCCGCCGACGUUCCUCCGAUGACUCGGCGGGCAGCUUCCGGGAAACCAAAGCUUUUGGGUU